This 253-nucleotide ribosomal RNA is filed under the name uncultured bacterium. RNAcentral's name for it is "partial 16S ribosomal RNA". It matches the Rfam family "Bacterial small subunit ribosomal RNA", at positions 524 to 776 of the family's 1533-position model. The record is from RNAcentral.
UACAGAGGGUGCAAGCGUUAAUCGGAAUUACUGGGCGUAAAGCGAGCGUAGGUGGCUUGAUAAGUCAGAUGUGAAAGCCCCGGGCUUAACCUGGGAACGGCAUCUGAUACUGUUGAGCUAGAGUAGGUGAGAGGAAGGUAGAAUUCCAGGUGUAGCGGUGAAAUGCGUAGAGAUCUGGAGGAAUACCGAUGGCGAAGGCAGCCUUCUGGCAUCAUACUGACACUGAGGCUCGAAAGCGUGGGUAGCAAACAGG